AUGGAAUUGUCUGAUCGGUCCGGGGCUAGCUGGUUAGCAUGCUAACUUUGAGAAACGUGGCUCACCAUCGACAGGUUUCUAAAAUGACGCCAUCAACAUGUAUCCGCAGCAGGUCAACACUAAACCCACCGGCUCAUCGCUGAAGCGAGUUGCUGUUAUGAGUUUUCGGGCGAACCACUGCU
Molecule: long non-coding RNA, 182 nt
Organism: Seriola aureovittata
Lineage: Eukaryota; Metazoa; Chordata; Actinopteri; Carangiformes; Carangidae
Exons: 3
Source: RefSeq, a predicted model, not a curated record